RNAcentral lists this unclassified non-coding RNA (672 nucleotides) under Hevea brasiliensis (rubber tree). The record is from RNAcentral. Lineage: Eukaryota; Viridiplantae; Streptophyta; Magnoliopsida; Malpighiales; Euphorbiaceae.
AUGGCGUCUUUGUUGAUCAAAGUAUUUAUUUUUCCAGGCCUCAAGAAUCAUCUCUUUUAUACAUGCCACAUGAAGACAGUAUCUGCGGCAAGUAGAAACAUAAAACCAGCUUUUUGGACCACUAAGAAUACGACAUUUUUGGCAAGCUGAGGAAGCCUUUUUUUUCAGUUCUAGUGUCACACCUUCACUACUUAAGGUGAGUGGGAGCUUUGCACAGUUAGGGUGCAUAUCAUAUCCCCUAGACGAGCAAUGGUACAGAAACCCUUUCACAUCUUUCCCGCAUGCAUCACAAAUUCUAUCCCCAAAUGUUGGAGAUCUCUUAUAAAAGUCGAAUCUACAUCCUUCAAAGAGAUGAUGGUAAGUAGGUGAGGAAGGUAUUGCACAUUCCUCAUGCAUAUAAAACAUACAGUUUCUGCAUCUAUAGCAUCUCCCAAAUCCGAGCUCUUUACACCCAUCACAGAAGUAAGGUGUGGAGGGAUGUUCGAGUUUUAGAUAGUGCCGUGGGUGGCUGGGAUGCUUAAUAUCGGUGACAGCAGGCAUAUUGUAGGAAAGGUUCUCUCAACACCUUUUGAUGUGGAGAUUUUGAUGCGAGAUUUGUAGGAAUUUAUGAAUCUGCAAUGAACUUCUUUUGAAGAGCUCUAAUAUAAUUGAGGGAAAACCAGCAAAAGAGCG